GAUCAUGGCUCAGGACGAACGCUGGCGGCGUGCUUAACACAUGCAAGUCGAACGCUGAAGCCCAGCUUGCUGGGUGGAUGAGUGGCGAACGGGUGAGUAACACGUGAGUAACCUGCCCCCUUCUUUGGGAUAACGCCCGGAAACGGGUGCUAAUACUGGAUAUUCACUGGCCUUCGCAUGGGGGUUGGGUUGGGAAAGGGUUUUUUUACGUUUGGUUGGGGGGUAGGUGGGCGUCGCGGCCUACUCAGCUUGUUGGGUUGGGGUGGAGUGG
Molecule: ribosomal RNA, 271 nt
Filed under: uncultured bacterium
Lineage: Bacteria
Description: partial 16S ribosomal RNA
Rfam family: Bacterial small subunit ribosomal RNA
Source: RNAcentral